UAGGGAGACCUACCUUGGGGCAUCUGAGGGGAGUUAGACCACCCUCAGGCCAGCAAAGGUUAUCCCAGGUCGGUCGGGGUUGAAGGGAUGGUUGACUGGGGUUCUGGAGGGGAACCGAGGGGAGGGCUAUUAGCUCAGGUGGUUAGAGCGCACCCCUGAUAAGGGUGAGGUCCCUGGUUCGAGUCCAGGAUGGCCCACUGUUUGUCCUGGAGAAGGGAGAGCUAGUAAGCUAGAAGCGAGCUGGCCAAGCUGAGGGCAAAGCCAGAGGGUGGGUGCAGUCUGGAUUGGGGGUAUAGCUCAGCUGGUAGAGCGCUGCCUUUGCACGGCAGAAGUCAGCGGUUCGAGUCCGCUUACCUCCACUACUUUGGUGAGGAGCGGGGAAGGGGUUCUCCAGUUGGAUAGGUUGACGACCGGGCUAGGGGUUUGGGUCCGAGCACAAGCCUUCAGCCGGGUUGAGCCGGCCAGCACUUUGAAAACUGCAUAGCAAGAGAGCAGCAUGCUUCUGGGUUGAGCCCUCCGAGCCUUGGCUUGGGGGAAGCAGCAACCUGGGGGCAUGAGGCAGGUAGAACACCAAUGUUACGUGAGGUGAAAAGGUCAAGUCAGUUAAGGGCGCAC
This 615-nucleotide transfer RNA is filed under the name uncultured cyanobacterium. Its description in RNAcentral is "partial 16S-23S rRNA intergenic spacer". The stretch from base 287 to 359 matches the Rfam family "tRNA". Lineage: Bacteria; Bacillati; Cyanobacteriota. The record is from RNAcentral.